RNAcentral lists this ribosomal RNA (508 nucleotides) under uncultured bacterium. RNAcentral describes it as "bacterial SSU rRNA". It matches the Rfam family "Bacterial small subunit ribosomal RNA", at positions 8 to 518 of the family's 1533-position model. The record is from RNAcentral.
AGAGUUUGAUUAUGGCUCAGGAUAAACGCUGGCGGCGCACAUAAGACAUGCAAGUCGAACGGACGACUAUUGAUUCUUUACGAUUUGAUAGAAGUUAGUGGCGGACUGGUGAGUAACGCGUGAGCAACCUACCUAUAAGAGGGGAAUAACAGGGAGAAAUCUUUGCUAAUACCGCAUAAGCUGAUAGGAUCGCAUGAUCUAGUCAGAAAAGGAGUAAUCCGCUAAUAGAUGGGCUCGCGUCCGAUUAGAUAGUUGGUGGGGUAACGGCCUACCAAGUCGACGAUCGGUAGCCGGACUGAGAGGUUGAACGGCCACAUUGGGACUGAGAUACGGCCCAGACUCCUACGGGAGGCAGCAGUCGGGAAUAUUGCGCAAUGGAGGAAAAACCUCUGACGCAGUGACGCCGCGUAUAGGAAGAAGUUUUUCGGAAUGUAAACUAUUGUCAUUAGGGAAGAGAAAGGACGGUACCUAAGGAGGAAGCCCCGGCUAACUAUGUGCCAGCAGCGGC